RNAcentral lists this ribosomal RNA (492 nucleotides) under uncultured bacterium. Its description in RNAcentral is "partial 16S ribosomal RNA". It matches the Rfam family "Bacterial small subunit ribosomal RNA", at positions 29 to 507 of the family's 1533-position model. The record is from RNAcentral.
AGUGAACGCUGGCGGUAGGCCUAACACAUGCAAGUCGAACGGCAGCACAGUAAGAGCUCGCUCUUACGGGUGGCGAGUGGCGGACGGGCGAGGAAUACAUCGGAAUCUACUUUUUCGUGGGGGAUAACGUAGGGAAACUUACGCUAAUACCGCAUACGACCUACGGGUGAAAGCAGGGGAUCUUCGGACCUUGCGCGAUUGAAUGAGCCGAUGUCGGAUUAGCUAGUUGGCGGGGUAAAGGCCCACCAAGGCGACGAUCCGUAGCUGGUCUGAGAGGAUGAUCAGCCACACUGGAACUGAGACACGGUCCAGACUCCUACGGGAGGCAGCAGUGGGGAAUAUUGGACAAUGGGCGCAAGCCUGAUCCAGCCAUACCGCGUGGGUGAAGAAGGCCUUCGGGUUGUAAAGCCCUUUUGUUGGGAAAGAAAAGCAGCAGGUUAAUACCCCGCUGUUCUGACGGUACCCAAAGAAUAAGCACCGGCUAACUUCGUG